GUGAAUCAUCGAAUUUUUGAACGCAAAUUGCACUCCCUGGUAUUACGGGGAGUAUGCCUGUUUGAGGGUCGUUAGAAUGAAAAAUCGGGGCUUCGCUCUUUUUUUUUGAGGGUGAUCGCGUCGGCAUUGAGCCGUCUUUCUUAUGUUAAUUAAUGUCAAAGUUGCUUAAAAUGCAUCCUUCCGAUACGUUUAAAGCGUAU
Molecule: unclassified non-coding RNA, 200 nt
Filed under: Glomeraceae sp.
Lineage: Eukaryota; Fungi; Glomeromycota; Glomeromycetes; Glomerales; Glomeraceae
Description: partial contains 5.8S ribosomal RNA and internal transcribed spacer 2
Rfam family: 5.8S ribosomal RNA (bases 1-71)
Source: RNAcentral